CGAAGGUCCCAAGCGUUAUCCGGAUUUAUUGGGUUUAAAGGGUGCGUAGGCGGCUUAUUAAGUCAGUGGUGAAAGCCCCAAGCUUAACUUGGGAACUGCCAUUGAUACUGAUGAGCUUGAGUAGAUUUGAGGCGGGCGGAAUGUGUCGUGUAGCGGUGAAAUGCUUAGAUAUGACACAGAACACCAAUUGCGUGGGCAGCUCGCUAAACUCUUACUGACGCUGAGGCACGAAAGCAUGGGGAUCAAACAGGAUUAGAUACCCUGGUAGUCCAUGCCCUAAACGAUGAUUACUCGAUGAGUGCGAUACACUGUACGCGUCUGAGCGAAAGCAUUAAGUAAUCCACCUGGGGAGUACGGUCGCAAGACUG
This 368-nucleotide ribosomal RNA is filed under the name uncultured organism. RNAcentral describes it as "bacterial SSU rRNA". It matches the Rfam family "Bacterial small subunit ribosomal RNA", at positions 526 to 896 of the family's 1533-position model. The record is from RNAcentral.